This 480-nucleotide ribosomal RNA is filed under the name Bacillus sp. BacB13. RNAcentral describes it as "bacterial SSU rRNA". It matches the Rfam family "Bacterial small subunit ribosomal RNA", at positions 8 to 479 of the family's 1533-position model. The record is from RNAcentral. Lineage: Bacteria; Bacillati; Bacillota; Bacilli; Caryophanales; Bacillaceae.
AGAGUUUGAAUUCCCCGCUCAGGACGAACGCUGGCGGCGUGCCUAAUACAUGCAAGUCGAGCGGACAGAUGGGAGCUUGCUCCCUGAUGUUAGCGGCGGACGGGUGAGUAACACGUGGGUAACCUGCCUGUAAGACUGGGAUAACUCCGGGAAACCGGGGCUAAUACCGGAUGCUUGUUUGAACCGCAUGGUUCAAACAUAAAAGGUGGCUUCGGCUACCACUUACAGAUGGACCCGCGGCGCAUUAGCUAGUUGGUGAGGUAAUGGCUCACCAAGGCAACGAUGCGUAGCCGACCUGAGAGGGUGAUCGGCCACACUGGGACUGAGACACGGCCCAGACUCCUACGGGAGGCAGCAGUAGGGAAUCUUCCGCAAUGGACGAAAGUCUGACGGAGCAACGCCGCGUGAGUGAUGAAGGUUUUCGGAUCGUAAAGCUCUGUUGUUAGGGAAGAACAAGUACCGUUCGAAUAGGNCGGUACC